UUAUCCUUUUCCUCCCUGUCUUGCCUCCUGUCUCCCAUCCAUUCCUUUUCCUCUGCUUUCCCUCACAGCACUGCACCUGAGUGGAGUUCGGCUUCACAGCCGUCUCCACUCAGGUAAUCAACCUCCUCCACGAGUCCCGGGCAGCUGGAAGAAAUCAUCCUGAUUACUCACCAAGCAAUAAGUACCGGCUCAACACUCCACACCCUGCCAGAUUGUUGAAAUAGACUGCUACCCAGCUGCCCGGGAACUUACCCACCCGAAACCCUCACCUGAACCCCCCAACCCAUUCGCCACCAGUCUCCUCCCCACUCGGAUCCCCCAUUCCGCCCGGACCCCCUCCUGGAACCCCCGACCCAUUUCCUUCCCGGCCGCUGGAGCUGCAGCAGUCAACCGGCUGCUCCCUGCCUCCCGGAGCUCCUCCCGGAACAUCACCUGCGAGACGCCGUCUCUGCCCGGCCAGUCCAACACCUCGGCCCCCCGGAUCGUCAGAGUGCUACGUCUCGUUCCCUCCGAACCCCUCCUCCUCCAUCGAACUCUGAGCCCUUUGACGUCUGGCCGCCAGGGAUCCCCCACAGCCAUCUGCGACGCUCCGGUCCCGCCCGGACCUUGGACAACCGCCGAUCCCCGUCCCCAGACCCACCCGGCCACAUCCUCCCUCCACCAGCAUCCCUGUUCCUGCAUCCCGGUCUCUGCACUCCAGCCAUAUCCACCCCUGUACAAUAAAACCCUUUUUCAACUUC
Molecule: long non-coding RNA, 740 nt
Organism: Acanthochromis polyacanthus (spiny chromis)
Lineage: Eukaryota; Metazoa; Chordata; Actinopteri; Pomacentridae
Exons: 2
Source: RefSeq, a predicted model, not a curated record